AUGACACAACGGGUAGCCAUUUUGUUAGAAGUUUGGGGGAGUGUUUCGAGAAGCCGCCUUUCGUGGUUAUUCUUUAUCUGCUGCGGUACCCCAGAAAUUCGGGCGCAACUUUGUAGCAUAUCUUUAUUUUGCAACACGCAAGGUUUGCGCCGCGGUUCUUGCAUAGAAUUGCGACUUCAUCUGCUUCCUCAAGGGCUCGAACGAUACCCAGCCAUUCAUUUCGAAAGCAUGGUCAUUGUUAGCCAGCUAGCUUAAUCGCUUAUGUCUCAUGGCCGCCGGUGGUAGAAUUUUGUGAAGGAGACACGUUCAACGCGCUCGCUGCAACUGGAUAUCCAAACCACGCAACAACAGCUUGGAAGUGUUUAUCGGAAGAGGAACAGAGUUCGUCACCGUUGCAUUUCCUUGCACAACCUAACAUUUCGCCGUGCAUCGUAAGUUAGCAAGCUAGUCAGUUAGCUAUCAGCUAACCUCAAGUAAUUUAGUGCGGAGGUCCGUGAGGUAGGCCAACCCGUAAGGUCAAAGAAAGCGGGUUUACAGCUAUUCGCUAGCUAUCAAAGCAGUGUUUGUUCAAAAUGGCAGAGUGCUAUAUUCGCGUCGCUGAGGAUGAAAACGAGGAGCCUAUGGAGAUCCCUUCCGAAGAUGAUGGCACCAUCUUGUUGUCGUCGGUGGCUGCACAGUUCCCUGGAGCCUGCGGCCUACGGUACAGAAAUCCCGUCUCCCAGUGCAUGAGAGGGGUUCGUCUGGUCGACGGAAUUCUACACGCACCCGAUGCCGACUGGGGAAACCUUAUCUACUUCGUUAACUACCCCAAAGAUAACAAGAGGAAGAUGGAUGAAAUGGAUGCUGCUUCUGGUGGGAAGAUGAAGAGGGGAGUCGCCAAGACAUCAGACCUGAUUGUGCUCGGCUUGCCGUGGAAAACAUCAGAACAAGACCUGAAGGAUUAUUUUGCUACGUUUGGCGAGGUCAUCAUGGCUCAGGUCAAACGAGAUGUGAAGACUGGCAACUCCAAAGGUUUUGGCUUCGUAAGGUUCACAGACUAUGAAACCCAAAUGAAAGUCAUGUCCCAGAGACAUAUGAUUGACGGAAGAUGGUGCGACUGUAAAUUACCAAACUCUAAGGCUGGUCCUGAUGAGCCCAUGCGCAGCCGAAAAGUCUUUGUGGGUCGCUGCACAGAGGACCUGAGUGUUGACGACCUCCGACAGUUCUUCAUGCAGUACGGCGAGGUCACUGACGUGUUCAUUCCCAAACCUUUCAGAGCGUUCGCCUUCGUCACAUUCGCUGAUGACCAGGUUGCACAGGCCCUGUGCGGCGAGGACCUGAUCAUCAAGGGGACCAGCGUGCACAUCUCCAACGCUGAGCCCAAGCACAGCAAUAGUAGGCAAAUGAUGGAUCGUGGGGGUCGUUUUGGGGCCGGGUUUGGGGGUCAGGGCUUUGGCAGCCGCAGUCCAAACAGCGGAGGGGUGAAUUUCGGGGCACUCAGCCUCAACCCUGCCAUGAUGGCGGCCGCACAGGCGGCACUGCAGAGCAGCUGGGGCAUGAUGGGUAUGCUGGCUAACCAGCAGGGCCAAACCGCCGCCACCGGCACCAGCGCCACCGGUCAGAGCAGCACUAGCCGCGAACAGGGCCAGACCUAUAGCGCCAACAACAACUACGGCACCCAGAGCUCAGCCAGCCUGGGCUGGGGCACCGGCUCCAAUUCGGCCUCAGGCAGCGGCGGCUUUAACUCUAGCUUCGGGACUAGCAUGGAGACCAAGUCUAGCUGGGGAAUGUAGGCUGUAGAUGGGAGGGAGGGAGUGAGUGAGUGAGCGAGAGUGCGAGAGUUAAGGGGGUUUGAGGAGUUAUUUUUGUUUUGGUUUUGAGUUUGUUGUUUGAGAGUAUGAUUCAAGUUUGUAGUUUAAGUAUGGUACAUGGUAAGUACUUUGAAUUAAGACAUUUGUAGUCAGAUGUUCUUUCCGUUAAAAAAAUAUGGGGUAAGAAUAGCCCAGCCUUUUUGUAUAGGAGAAAGAAACACAAACACAAUGGAUCAAUUUAAAUCCCUUGACUUAUUCAGAGUGGUUAAGUGUCAAGCUAUAUUGAUCUCUAAUUUAGUUUAUUAAUUUAUUUUAUUUACAAGACAGACGUCUGACACUGUCUAAAGUCACACAAUUUUUUUAAGUUUGCCCUUUCAACCAAGUUAAUGAUUAGCCAUUUGUAACUUAAAAAAAGACAAACUGACACUUGGUCAGUUCAUUGUAAGACUGAUUUGAGUUAAUGUUGUGUGCAGUUGUUUUUUUGUUUGCAUUUGCGUUUGUUUGAAGCUUUUUUUUAAGGUGAAGCCUUCACAAAUCUCUCCUGCAGUUAACCAGCUCUUUUCCAAUUUCCCUGGAAGAAGUCCAUCGCUGGCCGCAAUGUUCGAACGGGCUCAGCAGUAUCAACAGUAUCAGCAGUAUCAGUACCCUUCUUCCCAUGUGUAAAUGCUAAGCCAUCAAAGAACACAGCUUCACUCUGCAUUUACUGUGUUAGACGGGACCUUGGACAUCGAAGAGCCCAGAUUAACACCAGAGCCCAGAGUGAAGGCACUGUUCGGGGAGCUGAAGACUGGAGUUGGUGGUGUUGGGUGUUUGGCUCCCAACAUGAUCCAACUGUGGAGACGCUGCCGAAUGCCUUAUACCUGAAAAGGGACUUCUACGCAUCUCUCUGUAUCCAGAUUCCCUGGGGAAGCCUUUUAAUGAAAUUUGACUAUGGACAAUUUACCAAAUUGGUUUGGAUCCUCAAAGCAAGUCCCUUUUUUAAAAUGCGAAAGGGCAAGAGGCUGGUGGGGUGGGUAAUUCUUUCGGGAAGGAAGCCAUCUUGCGAUUUUAAGGAAUCGGGUUAAAAAAAAUGCAGCGAAUUGGAAGAGGGAUGUCAAUGUGUCUGGCGAUCAGUCCCCAUCCGAAUGACUCGUAUAAUUCCUUGACCCAACCAUUCUGUUUUAGACAUUGUUUUAUUUCUGAGCUGUAUUUGCCAGAUAAUGUUUUUGGUCUUACUUUUGAAAGACAUUUUUAUGUUUGUUUUGUUUUUUUCCUCUUAGUAAUGUCUUGGUUCAGUCAUCACCGUACAACCAUUGAUUAUUGUAUUUCAAAAUGGUGAGAUUUUUGCAGGUUGGAAAAGCAUAUUUUUUCAUAAAGUAAUCUGUAGAACUUUUCCUGUCUUUUGUGGUUGGAAAUGUUCGUCUUCAAGUCCUUCGAAUCUUGGAAAAAGUUGUGAUUCUGAAUUUCUUAGGCAAGAUUUAUUUUUUAUUAUUGUUUAUUUUUGGAGAGGCUAAUAAAACAUCUCUGCAGGAAUGCUAUCAGAAAAUGUAUCACAACAGUCUUAUUUUUAGUCCUUCAAAGUAUAAAAUAAACAUCUAACUUUGUA
Engraulis encrasicolus (European anchovy) is the source of this 3375-nucleotide RNA transcript. It is a transcript of the gene named TAR DNA binding protein a, with no coding region annotated. The record is from RefSeq and is a predicted model, not a curated record. The transcript has 6 exons. Lineage: Eukaryota; Metazoa; Chordata; Actinopteri; Clupeiformes; Engraulidae.